UAAGGGAUAUUGGUCAAUGGGGGAAACCCUGAACCAGCAACGCCGCGUGAGGGAAGACGGUUUUCGGAUUGUAAACCUCUGUCCUCUGUGAAGAUGAUGACGGUAGCAGAGGAGGAAGCUCCGGCUAACUACGUGCCAGCAGCCGCGGUAAUACGUAGGGAGCGAGCGUUGUCCGGAUUUACUGGGUGUAAAGGGUGCGUAGGCGGCUCUGUAAGUCAGAAGUGAAAUCCAUGGGCUCAACCCAUGAACUGCUUUUGAAACUGUGGAGCUUGAGUGAAGUAGAGGUAGGCGGAAUUCCCGGUG
RNAcentral lists this ribosomal RNA (303 nucleotides) under uncultured bacterium. Its description in RNAcentral is "bacterial SSU rRNA". It matches the Rfam family "Bacterial small subunit ribosomal RNA", at positions 355 to 675 of the family's 1533-position model. The record is from RNAcentral.